UACGUAGGGUGCGGGCGUUAAUCGGAAUUACUGAGCGUAAAGCGUGCGCAGGUGGCUCCUUAAGUCAGAUGUGAAAGCCCCGGGCUUAACCUGGGAACUGCGUUUGAAACUGGGGAGCUAGAGUGUGGAAAAGGGGGGUGGAAUUCCAGGUGUAGCAGUGAAAUGCGUAAAGAUCUGGAGGAACACCGAUGGCGAAGGCAGCCCCCUGGGCUAACACUGACGCUCAUGCACGAAAGCGUGGGGAGCAAACAGG
RNAcentral lists this ribosomal RNA (253 nucleotides) under uncultured bacterium. RNAcentral describes it as "partial 16S ribosomal RNA". It matches the Rfam family "Bacterial small subunit ribosomal RNA", at positions 524 to 776 of the family's 1533-position model. The record is from RNAcentral.